UACGUAGGUCCCGAGCGUUGUCCGGAUUUAUUGAGCGUAAAGCGAGCGCAGGUGGUUUAUUAAGUCUGGUGUAAAAGGCAGUGGCUCAACCAUUGUAUGCAUUGGAAACUGGUAGACUUGAGUGCAGGAGAGGAGAGUGGAAUUCCAUGUGUAGCGGUGAAAUGCGUAGAUAUAUGGAGGAACACCGGUGGCGAAAGCGGCUCUCUGGCCUGUAACUGACACUGAGGCUCGAAAGCGUGAGGAGCAAACAGG
Molecule: ribosomal RNA, 252 nt
Filed under: uncultured bacterium
Lineage: Bacteria
Description: partial 16S ribosomal RNA
Rfam family: Bacterial small subunit ribosomal RNA
Source: RNAcentral